Molecule: ribosomal RNA, 527 nt
Filed under: uncultured bacterium
Lineage: Bacteria
Description: bacterial SSU rRNA
Rfam family: Bacterial small subunit ribosomal RNA
Source: RNAcentral
CUAUGGAAUAUCUCUCGUUAACUUGAACUAAUUCUGUAUACGCCCUUCGGGGGAAAGAUUUUUCGGAGAUGGAUGAGCCCGCGUUGGACGCGUAGUUGCUGGUCUAAAGGCCUACUUGGCGACGAUCCAUAGCUGGUCUGAGAGGAUGAUCAGCCACAUUGGGACUGAGCCACGGUCCAACUCUAUACGGGAGGCAGCAGUGCUGAAUAUUGGACAAUGGGCGCAAGCCUGAUCCAGCCAUGCCGCGUGAGUGAUGAAGGCCCUAGGGUUGUAAAGCUCUUUCACCGGUGAAGAUAAUGACGGUAACCGGAGAAGAAGCCCCGGCUAACUUCGUGCCAGCAGCCGCGGUAAUACGAAGGGGGCUAGCGUUGUUCGGAAUUACUGGGCGUAAAGCGCACGUAGGCGGGUAUUUAAGUCAGGGGUGAAAUCCCGGAGCUCAACUCCGGAACUGCCUUUGAUACUGGGUACCUAGAGUAUGGAAGAGGUAAGUGGAAUUCCGAGUGUAGAGGUGAAAUUCGUAGAUAUUC